This 440-nucleotide ribosomal RNA is filed under the name uncultured bacterium. RNAcentral describes it as "partial 16S ribosomal RNA". It matches the Rfam family "Bacterial small subunit ribosomal RNA", at positions 338 to 795 of the family's 1533-position model. The record is from RNAcentral.
CCUACGGGAUGCAGCAGUGGGGAAUAUUGCACAAUGGGGGAAACCCUGAUGCAGCGACGCCGCGUGAGUGAAGAAGUAUCUCGGUACGUAAAGCUCUAUCAGCAUGGAAGAAAAUGACGGUACCUGACUAAGAAGCCCCAGCUAAAUACGUGCCAGCAGCCGCGGUAAUAAGUAGGGGGCAAGCGUGAUCCGGAUUUACGUGGUGUAAAGGUAGCGUAGACGGAAGCACAAGUCUGGAGUGGAGUCCCGGGGCUUAACCCCGGAACUGCUUUGGAAACUGUGCGGCUGGAGUGCAGGAGGGGUAAGCGGAAUUCCUAGUGUAGCGGUGAAAUGCGUAGAUAUUAGGAGGAACACCGGUGGCGAAGGCGGCUUACUGGACUGUAACUGACGUUGAGGCUCGAAAGCGUGGGGAGCAAACAGGAUUAGAUACCCGUGUAGUC